AGUAUCAGUGCUCCAUCUAUAGGCCUAACAAAGGGGUGUUGAUAGACUUUUGAUUGGCUGAGCCACCAUCUAUUUGAAAACAAGCGACUUUGAUUGGCUGGAGACAGGAAGUUAUGUUUUGAAAACAAAGGGGGUUUUCAUCAACUGACUUUGAGCUUUAAGGUAUAAUUGAGUAACAUAAAGACUUAUAAUUCUAGUUUAAAAUGUCUUGAAUAACUUUCAGCAUGAAGUAUUGUGUGGUGAAAACAAUGUGUAUGUACUACAAUGUGUAAAUCAACAAUAAGUUUGUUGCAAAGGAGAUUCAAAGUGGAUGGUUAAAGUGAUAUGGUCUCAUAAUUCAUCAACUGCCUGUUAUCUUGGAAUACUGAAGAACAGUUGUUUUAGGUUAAACUCCCAAGGUGAAAUUUACAUUGAUUGGAAGAUUCUUUGGAUAGAAUAUUCCUGCCAAAAGACAGCAGAAGGGGGACUAACUGAUGUAUGGAUUUUGACACCAGAUUUUACCCUGCACGAGCAGCCCAACUUUAGUAGAUCAGGAGUGGGAAAACCGAGCCCUGUCCUUGACCAAGGAAAGUUGGAUUUGUUGAGAGGUAAAACUAUACAGGUUUUAGCAUUUGAAAGGCGUCACACUUCCGACCAGUCCACACAGCCAAAUGGGACCACAUAUCUUGGACCUGAUCUCAAAUGAGAUCAUGCACAAGACGCACCUCGCAAAGGCCAUGACAGUAUAGUUUUCAGACCUGAUCAGCUGGUGACUGCUCUAUGAAGUGCUGUUCAACCUCCCCUAAGGGGGAGAUUCGAGAGGGUCUCCUGAUUGCUGAACACUACGCCAUGGUUGUUGUCAUCUCCAAAAAGUUUGCCCUGCCCAUAUCAACAGUGGAAGAGAACAUGAGAUGGGCCUUGAGGAGGCUUCGUGUCAUGUACUGCGGGGAGAAUAUAUAAACUGUUUAGUGCUGAGCAAUAUGUUCCUUUGUUCAUAUGUGUAAAUAUGUGUAAAGGGCUAUUCCAGGAAAAGAUAGGAUGAAGGAUUCCUUAAUGUUGUCAUUUUAUAAAUCCGGUACCACCAACACAGUUAAAAACAAUUAUUAUUAAUUUUAUCCUCUGUAUCACCCCUCACUAACUGAAACUGUAUAUAAUCAUGGUUCAUACCCUUCCUCCCAUUUUUACCUGUGGUAGCCCAAAGAGGAGAAUGUUAUUUAUUUUAAUUUAUUAUGUUAAAUGUGCUCGCAUAUUGUGAUAAUGUAUCUUGGGCAGAUGUUUUCCUGGUUUUGUUAAAAAUGCACUGUAAAAAUGUUCACAUUAUUUGUUUUUUUUAAUAUAAACAUUGUUUUUUGCAAAUUGUGUGUGUCUUUUAUUUAUAAUCACAUGGGGCUUGUAAUGAUCUGUUGUGAUUUUAUCUCAAAUAACCUUUUUACCAUUAAGGUGUAAAUAUUUUUUUUUUACAAAGGUUACAGGUCAAACAAGCAAAAUUUUAUGAUCCCUUAAGCGAACAAAAGACUCACAAAAACCAACUUAAACACA
Dreissena polymorpha is the source of this 1518-nucleotide long non-coding RNA. RefSeq lists it as uncharacterized. The transcript is spliced from 4 exons. The record is from RefSeq and is a predicted model, not a curated record. NCBI's taxonomy places the organism in Eukaryota, Metazoa, Mollusca, Bivalvia, Myida, Dreissenidae.